This 1444-nucleotide unclassified non-coding RNA is filed under the name Hevea brasiliensis (rubber tree). Lineage: Eukaryota; Viridiplantae; Streptophyta; Magnoliopsida; Malpighiales; Euphorbiaceae. The record is from RNAcentral.
UUUUCAGGGAUCAUCAUCAGAUCAUCUUUCAUAAAGUGCGCUUAUAAUCAUCUUGUAGAUAAAGAGAGAGGUGUCUUGUUACCAGUUUCCUGUUAUAAUCACAAGAAAGAAACACAUGCUACUUUUAAAUGAAAUUACUCACUUCACCACCAGCAAGAUGCUGGAGGAAUUUGUCCUCAUACUCACGGCAGAGUUCCAAAGCUAAAGCUCUUGUACCUUCAGAACUACUAACCAUUUGCUCACCAAGCCUUACAAGUUCAUCUUGAACUAUUUGAGACUUCCCCUGAAGCCCAGACAGAAGAUUAGGAAGCCUGAGUUUCAUACGACUACGGAUCUGACCAGCAAGAGCUUCCACCAAAGCUACUCUCCCAAGCUUGCUUUGGGGUGCUCCAGUCAAUAUAGAUUUUAGACUUUCACUCUCAGCACGCCAAGCUGUUUCUAAAGAAUUUUCAGAUGCACUUCCCGAUUGUGCUGAAGCAAUGGAAACAGAUUGACCAAUCAAUGCAAUCCAUGGAAUAUCAGAUGUUUUGGGAGGUCCCUGAUUCAGGAGAAGUGCCUGAACAGCAGCAAGAGCUUUUGACUCUGUAGCUGCUUGAUCGAUUUUACUAAUAACACCAAUUGUUCUAGUACUUUCCGCAUCAUAUUCCUUCGCAAUUCUAAGGGCUCUACAUGAUGAAAUUUCUGGUGCCUGAACAGCAGGAAUUACAACUAGCAAAAUUGCAUCGUUGUGUUCAACAUAUUCACUGAUCAGUGAAUCAUCCAUAAUUCUUUGAUCCAGUCCUGGCAAGUCAGUCAAUUUCAAUGGUGGAGCUGUGCUAGUUCGCAAUUUCAGAUAUAUUUCAUCACGACCCCUUCCUGAUGAACCCUUGCUUAGCCUAUCCUGUAGAGAAUGCCGAAGAGCACUUGCAGAAACCUGCUGAGAUUUGUUAUCAAUUUGCAAAACGAUUGACUUGUUGCUUAAUGAACUAUCUCUACUCAAAUCAAUGCUUAUUGGAGCCCGAGUUGCACCAUUUUCACCAGUUGGCAAAACAGGAUGUCCAAUGAGACUAUUCAGUACAGCAGAUUUACCAGCACCAACAUUGCCGAGAGAGACGACAUUGAGGAAAGUGGAGGAUCGUUUGGAGGAGGAAGACGUCGUCGUUUCAUCAAUAUCUUCGUCGGCUAGCAACGCAGAGGCUUGCCUCAUAGACUCGGAUAGCUGUUGCAAGUCUUCGAUCGCUUCCAUAUUCAAUAUACCUAUCUAUCAAUCUAUACUUCUAAGGAUUAACGGAUUCAAAAGCAAAGAGGCACAAAUUUUGCAUAGGAAAAUAGAGAUCGAAAUGAAGAGAUGCAGAAGAAGAGAAACCCUAAGAUUGGAUCUGGAGAAGGAAGAUUGAAAUCAAAAAUUGAGAAAUAGAAGUAAUGAUAAAUGCAUUUGAAAAGGGUGCUUUCUGUUGGCUUUUUG